GAUGAACGCUGGCGGCGUGCUUAACACAUGCAAGUCGAACGAAGCACUUAGACGGAAGUUUUCGGAUGGAAGAUUAGGUGACUGAGUGGCGGACGGGUGAGUAACGCGUGGGCAACCUGCCUCAUACAGGGGGAUAACAGUUAGAAAUAGCUGCUAAUACCGUAUAAGCUUACGGUACCGCAUGGUACAGUAAGAAAAACUCCGGUGGUAUGAGAUGGGCCCGCGUCUGAUUAGCUAGUUGGUAAGGUAACGGCUUACCAAGGCGACGAUCAGUAGCCGACCUGAGAGGGUGACCGGCCACAUUGGGACUGAGACACGG
This 319-nucleotide ribosomal RNA is filed under the name uncultured bacterium. RNAcentral's name for it is "bacterial SSU rRNA". It matches the Rfam family "Bacterial small subunit ribosomal RNA", at positions 28 to 329 of the family's 1533-position model. The record is from RNAcentral.